This 372-nucleotide ribosomal RNA is filed under the name uncultured organism. Its description in RNAcentral is "bacterial SSU rRNA". It matches the Rfam family "Bacterial small subunit ribosomal RNA", at positions 526 to 896 of the family's 1533-position model. The record is from RNAcentral.
CGGGGGGGGCAAGCGUUGUUCGGAAUUACUGGGCGUAAAGGGCUCGUAGGCGGCCAACUAAGUCGGACGUGAAAUCCCCAGGCUCAACCUGGGAACUGCGUCUGAUACUGGAUGGCUUGAAUCCGGGAGAGGGAUGCAGAAUUCCAGGUGUAGCGGUGAAAUGCGUAGAUAUCUGGAGGAAUACCGGUGGCGAAGGCGGCAUCCUGGACCGGCAUUGACGCUGAGGAGCGAAAGCCAGGGGAGCAAACGGGAUUAGAUACCCCGGUAGUCCUGGCCCUAAACGAUGAAUGCUUGGUGUAACGGGUAUCGAUCCCUGUUGUGCCGAAGCUAACGCAUUAAGCAUUCCGCCUGGGGAGUACGGUCGCAAGGCUG